Rattus norvegicus (Norway rat) is the source of this 744-nucleotide non-coding RNA. The record is from RefSeq and is a predicted model, not a curated record. Lineage: Eukaryota; Metazoa; Chordata; Mammalia; Rodentia; Muridae.
UUUAGCUAAUGGGUUGAGUGAGUGAGAGGGCAGUAGGGCUUCAGAGGGAAAAGACAGAAGCAGAGAAACAAGACUUAGGAAAGAAGUGGACAGAUGGCCGUAGCAGUGAUCAUCAUCACUUGUGCGGUUCUAUCAAUCUACCUAUGCAUUUCUACGCCACCUCUCACCAGAGUGCUUGCCUCCUGUUCUCCCUAAGCAAUGAGGUUAAUAUUGAAGGUGAUCACAAUGAUUCUCUUCCUGUUUCCAUGGUGUGUCCAUGGGCUUUGAGAUAUGCCACCCUGUCCACUACUCAACACAGUGACGUGGGAUGGAAGGAAUUAUCUCUAAAUCAUGGAUUCAUUCAGGGAAAGCAAUGCCCUUCGUCCUUGAAAAACAGUUAACAACGGGCACCAUUGGAGCACACCUGGAGUCUCUGUGCAUAUGGAACCGAUAAGAACUUCUCAGCAGUCCCCGAAGACUCUUUAAAAUCACCUUAGACCUGAGAAAGAAACUAAAGGAAGAUGCUUAACUAUCACCGUCAUGCCCAAGGCACUUUCGCUACUUGCUACUUUAAUUUGCAGAAAGAAAGAAAAAAGAAAACUCUACAGCUUUAUUAUAUGCAGCACAUAGACUAUUAUCUCUUGAUAAUAACCUUAAAUAAAUGCCAAACACAGAGGUCUAAAAUUAUUCCUUAGCUCAUGUCUCACUUACUUUCUAUGUGAUGACUCUGUGAUUGACUAAAAAUAAUAAAAAUAAUAAAACAUA